GUUGAGGGUAGGGAGGGGAGUUCCUGUUGUUCCUACUCCUGCUCAGUGAUUCCUGCCCAUGGUCCUCAUAAGGUUCAUGGGGGCUGUUGUUGCAAGAUCAUGGUGGGUCCCUGAAGCCCCUCUACUGACCUUUGACACUAAACUCUUCUUUUACUCCUGACAAUUCGCCCAAACAACACAGAAGGCAGAGAACUCUUGCAUCUAUUUGCCCUUUCAGUCUGGUUUAGCAACCGCCGUGCAAGAUGGAGGAAGCAAGCUGGGGCCAAUCAACUGAUGGCUUUCAACCAUCUCAUUCCCGGGGGGUUCCCUCCCACUGCCAUGCCGACCUUGCCAACGUACCAGCUGUCGGAGACCUCUUACCAGCCCACAUCUAUUCCACAAGCUGUGUCAGAUCCCAGCAGCACCGUUCACAGACCUCAACCGCUUCCUCCAAGCACUGUACACCAAAGCACGAUUCCUUCCAACCCAGACAGCAGCUCUGCCUACUGCCUCCCCAGCACCAGGCAUGGAUUUUCCAGCUAUACAGACAGCUUUGUGCCUCCGUCGGGGCCCUCCAACCCCAUGAACCCCACCAUUGGCAAUGGCCUCUCACCUCAGGUAAUGGGACUCCUGACCAACCACGGUGGGGUACCUCAUCAGCCCCAGACUGAUUACGCGCUCUCCCCUCUCACCGGGGGUCUGGAACCUACCACCACGGUGUCGGCCAGCUGCAGUCAGAGACUAGACCAUAUGAAGAGCUUGGACAGUCUGCCAACAUCUCAGUCCUACUGUCCACCCACCUAUAGCACCACAGGCUACAGUAUGGACCCUGUCACAGGCUAC
This 822-nucleotide long non-coding RNA is filed under the name Homo sapiens (human). Its description in RNAcentral is "non-protein coding lnc-FARSB-8:1". Lineage: Eukaryota; Metazoa; Chordata; Mammalia; Primates; Hominidae. The record is from RNAcentral.